This 253-nucleotide ribosomal RNA is filed under the name uncultured bacterium. RNAcentral's name for it is "partial 16S ribosomal RNA". It matches the Rfam family "Bacterial small subunit ribosomal RNA", at positions 524 to 776 of the family's 1533-position model. The record is from RNAcentral.
UACGGGGGGAGCAAGCGUUGUUCGGAUUUACUGGGCGUAAAGAGCGCGCAGGCGGUCGUUCAAGUCGAGUGUGAAAGCCCCCGGCUCAACUGGGGAGGGUCACUCGAUACUGAUCGACUCGAAGGCAGGAGAGGGAAGCGGAAUUCCCGGUGUAGUGGUGAAAUGCGUAGAUAUCGGGAGGAACACCAGUGGCGAAGGCGGCUUUCUGGCCUGCUCUUGACGCUGAGGCGCGAAAGCUAGGGUAGCAAACGGG